Triticum dicoccoides is the source of this 1286-nucleotide long non-coding RNA. RefSeq lists it as uncharacterized. The record is from RefSeq and is a predicted model, not a curated record. The transcript is spliced from 3 exons. Lineage: Eukaryota; Viridiplantae; Streptophyta; Magnoliopsida; Poales; Poaceae.
UACUCCCCCGAGGAGCUCCCCCUCUGCCUACAAAUCCCUUAUUUUCUCGUCUAUUCAAUCGAGCCCCUGUUCCUCAAUCUGGUGGGAUGACUACGAGGCGGCACUCGAUCUGGAGGCAUGGAGGCGGCAUGGGGUGGGCGCUCGUCGUCCUUGAGCUCCACUUCUUUAGCAACUCCAGACCCUCCUCAACAUCUUUGCCGUUCUCGACAUGGGGUGGGCUGCGGAAGUUGACCCUGCGGUACUCGUGCAAGCGUGGCUCCCUCCUCCAGUUGCUCAUCGGCCUCACUUUCCCCAUUAGGAAUCUACUACCUAGGAGUACAUGGAACAUUGGUUCUACCUCAGUUGCGCAUUUUUUUAGAAAUCAAGAGGCCACUGGUUUAUUAUUUUCAGUGGUGGGGACAGCUUUGCAACUGUAGGUAGAACAUAGUAUGAGUUAGCACUUACGAGCAGUCAAGGGGGGUAGGUAGCAUAAAUCACAUCUUUCAUGAUUUGACGUGCAUCACUUUGUAGUGGGUUGGCUAAUAAAUUAGGUAGUGAUGCUGCCUGGUAUUGUUCUGUACACUCCUGCAUCAUUAAGUUUUCCAGGCAACAACAGCACAAUGCUGAUAAUGAAAAGGAUAGGUGCAAGUUCAGACAGCUUAGGGUAUACAGAAGUUGCUUACAGGGUUGUAGUUGGAACAUGGGACCAUUAAUAUUGUUUGAUAUUGUGUCGUUGUCGAGUGGACAAUUUGAUAUUGGUCUCAGCCAAACAUAAAAAAGGCACCACAUGUCAAAUCAAUAAGCUGCUUCCUGGUUGAUCUUAAAUUAGUUGAUCGGUGGUAGUGAACUGGCAACGACGAAUUGGGUUGGUUUGAUAUAUAGAUCCAUGUGUACUUGCUGAUCUUUGACUAGCCAGUGCUAGUCCUUUUUGAUGUUUUCAGGUCCCAAAAUGCGCCUUCGUUGAAAUUUGUAGGAGAUGAUUUGAUUUAUUGUAGAAGUACAACUGCUGCUGCUGGAGCUCAUGCCUCAAGAAAGGCCAUCCAUUGUUUAUGGAAGGAGACCCGGAGAAGAACAACCAACUUUAUCUAAAAAUUGAAGAGCUAGCACCAAAGAGCCCCAGCCCACCUCCAAGAUCAAGUUCUAUGUGAAAUGGCGGACGAGGAGUUAACUGAUAUGAUGGUAGACAUGGAGUUUGGAGAACUGAUGAAAGACUGGAUAGAAGAUUGGUCAGAUGAUGAAAAUUCAGAUCUUGGAGAUCAGUCAGAGAAUGGGAACGAAUGGGAAGAUUUUAAUGUGAGUGGCAUUAU